This 564-nucleotide ribosomal RNA is filed under the name uncultured bacterium. RNAcentral describes it as "bacterial SSU rRNA". It matches the Rfam family "Bacterial small subunit ribosomal RNA", at positions 338 to 916 of the family's 1533-position model. The record is from RNAcentral.
CCUACGGGAGGCAGCAGUGGGGAAUAUUGCGCAAUGGGCGAAAGCCUGACGCAGCGACGCCGCGUGAGGGAUGAAGGUCUUCGGAUUGUAAACCUCUUUCAGCAGGGACGAAGCGAAAGUGACGGUACCUGAAGAAGAAGCACCGGCUAACUACGUGCCAGCAGCCGCGGUAAUACGUAGGGUGCAAGCGUUGUCCGGAUUUAUUGGGCGUAAAGAGCUCGUAGGCGGUUAGACACGUCGGAUGUGAAAACUGGGGGCUCAACCCCCAGCCUGCAUUCGAUACGGUCUGACUAGAGUGUGGUAGGGGUAACUGGAAUUCCUGGUGUAGCGGUGAAAUGCGCAGAUAUCAGGAGGAACACCGGAUGGCGAAGGCAGGUUACUGGGCCACCACUGACGCUGAGGAGCGAAAGCGUGGGGAGCAAACAGGAUUAGAUACCCUGGUAGUCCACGCCGUAAACGGUGGGCGCUAGAUGUGGGGACCAUUCCAUGGUUUCUGCGUCGCAGCUAACGCAUUAAGCGCCCCGCCUGGGGAUACGGUCGCAGACUAAACUCAAGGAUUGACGG